This 253-nucleotide ribosomal RNA is filed under the name uncultured bacterium. RNAcentral's name for it is "partial 16S ribosomal RNA". It matches the Rfam family "Bacterial small subunit ribosomal RNA", at positions 524 to 776 of the family's 1533-position model. The record is from RNAcentral.
UACGUAGGGUGCAAGCGUUAAUCGGAAUUACUGGGCGUAAAGCGUGCGCAGGCGGUUUUGUAAGUCUGUAGUGAAAGCCCCGGGCUCAACCUGGGAAUUGCGAUGGAGACUGCAAGGCUUGAAUCUGGCAGAGGGGGGGAGAGUUCCACGUGUAGCAGUGAAAUGCGUAGAGAUGUGGAGGAACACCGAUGGCGAAGGCAGCCCCCUGGGUCAAGAUUGACGCUCAUGCACGAAAGCGUGGGGAGCAAACAGC